This is a non-coding RNA of Xenopus tropicalis (tropical clawed frog), 82 nucleotides long. NCBI's taxonomy places the organism in Eukaryota, Metazoa, Chordata, Amphibia, Anura, Pipidae. The record is from Rfam.
GAUGAGUUGGCCGAGUGGUUAAGGUGAUGGAGUGCUAAUCUAUUGUGCUAUGCAUGCGUGGGUUCGAAUCCCAUCCUCAUCG